RNAcentral lists this transfer RNA (82 nucleotides) under Pichia californica. RNAcentral's name for it is "Candida californica tRNA". It matches the Rfam family "tRNA". From Rfam's summary of the family: Transfer RNA (tRNA) molecules are approximately 80 nucleotides in length. Their secondary structure includes four short double-helical elements and three loops (D, anti-codon, and T loops). The record is from Rfam by way of RNAcentral. Lineage: Eukaryota; Fungi; Ascomycota; Pichiomycetes; Pichiales; Pichiaceae.
GUCAGUUUGUCCGAGUGGUUAAGGAGAAAGACUUGAAAUCUUUUGGGCUUCGCCCGCACAGGUUCGAAUCCUGUAGCUGACG